CAGUAGCCGCGGGAAUACAGAGGGUGCGAGCGUUAAUCGGAUUUACUGGGCGUAAAGCGUGCGUAGGCGGCUUUUUAAGUCGGAUGUGAAAUCCCUGAGCUUAACUUAGGAAUUGCAUUCGAUACUGGGAAGCUAGAGUAUGGGAGAGGAUGGUAGAAUUCCAGGUGUAGCGGUGAAAUGCGUAGAGAUCUGGAGGAAUACCGAUGGCGAAGGCAGCCAUCUGGCCUAAUACUGACGCUGAGGUACGAAAGCAUGGGGAGCAAACAGGAUUAGAUACCCCCGUAGCCCCUGUCUCUUAUAC
RNAcentral lists this ribosomal RNA (301 nucleotides) under uncultured bacterium. RNAcentral describes it as "partial 16S ribosomal RNA". It matches the Rfam family "Bacterial small subunit ribosomal RNA", at positions 509 to 807 of the family's 1533-position model. The record is from RNAcentral.